AAAGCAGGCUGCAAUUACAGUGCUUCAUUCUGUGGGAGUACUGUCAUUUUCCUGCUGAGAGCAAUUUGGUUAAUGUCAUCUUUGGUUUUACCUGCAUGUUGGUGAAACCAUUUGUCCUUAACAUGUACAAGU
Molecule: small nucleolar RNA, 132 nt
Organism: Apteryx haastii (Great spotted kiwi)
Lineage: Eukaryota; Metazoa; Chordata; Aves; Apterygiformes; Apterygidae
Source: Ensembl